This 261-nucleotide ribosomal RNA is filed under the name uncultured Sphingobacteriales bacterium. RNAcentral's name for it is "partial 16S ribosomal RNA". It matches the Rfam family "Bacterial small subunit ribosomal RNA", at positions 524 to 784 of the family's 1533-position model. Lineage: Bacteria; Pseudomonadati; Bacteroidota; Sphingobacteriia; Sphingobacteriales. The record is from RNAcentral.
UACGGAGGGUGCAAGCGUUAUCCGGAUUCACUGGGUUUAAAGGGUGCGUAGGCGGGCAGGUAAGUCAGUGGUGAAAUCUUCGAGCUUAACUCGGAAACUGCCGUUGAUACUAUCUGUCUUGAAUUUAGUGGAGGUAAGCGGAAUAUGUCAUGUAGCGGUGAAAUGCUUAGAUAUGACAUAGAACACCAAUUGCGAAGGCAGCUUGCUACACUAUUAUUGACGCUGAGGCACGAGAGCGUGGGGAUCAAACAGGAUUAGAUA